GGUUAAGUUAGAAAGGGCGCACGGUGAAUGCCUUGGCACUAGGAGCCGAUGAAGGACGGGACUAACACCGAUAUGCUUCGGGGAGCUGUAAGUGAGCUUUGAUCCGGAGAUUUCCGAAUGGGGAAACCCACUGUUCGUAAUGGAACAGUAUCUUUAUCUGAAUACAUAGGAUAUUGAAGGCAGACCCGGGGAACUGAAACAUCUAAGUACCCGGAGGAAGAGAAAGCAAAUGCGAUUUCCUGAGUAGCGGCGAGCGAAACGGAAUUAGCCCAAACCAAGAGGCUUGCCUCUUGGGGUUGUAGGACACUCUAUACGGAGUUACAAAGGAACGAAGUAAAUGAAGCGACCUGGAAAGGUCCGUCGAAGAAGGUAACAACCCUGUAGUUGAAACUUCGUUCCCUCUUGAGUGGAUCCUGAGUACGGCGGAACACGUGAAAUUCCGUCGGAAGCUGGGAGGACCAUCUCCCAAGGCUAAAUACUACCUAGUGACCGAUAGUGAACCAGUACCGUGAGGGAAAGGUGAAAAGCACCCCGGAAGGGGAGUGAAAGAGAUCCUGAAACCGUGUGCCUACAAGUAGUCAGAGCCCGUUAACGGGUGAUGGCGUGCCUUUUGUAGAAUGAACCGGCGAGUUACGAUCCCAUGCAAGGUUAAGCUGAUAAGGCGGAGCCGUAGCGAAAGCGAGUCUGAAUAGGGCGUUUAGUAUGUGGUUGUAGACCCGAAACCAGGUGAUCUACCCAUGUCCAGGGUGAAGUUCAGGUAACACUGAAUGGAGGCCCGAACCCACGCACGUUGAAAAGUGCGGGGAUGAGGUGUGGGUAGCGGAGAAAUUCCAAUCGAACCUGGAGAUAGCUGGUUCUCUCCGAAAUAGCUUUAGGGCUAGCCUCAUGUUGUGAGAGUCUUGGAGGUAGAGCACUGAUUGGACUAGGGGCCCCCAACGGGUUACCGAAUUCAGUCAAACUCCGAAUGCCAAAGACUUAUCCAUGGGAGUCAGACUGCGAGUGAUAAGAUCCGUAGUCAAAAGGGAAACAGCCCAGACCACCAGCUAAGGUCCCCAAGUAUACGUUAAGUGGAAAAGGAUGUGGAGUUGCUUAGACAACCAGGAUGUUGGCUUAGAAGCAGCCACCAUUUAAAGAGUGCGUAAUAGCUCACUGGUCGAGUGACUCUGCGCCGAAAAUGUACCGGGGCUAAACGUAUCACCGAAGCUGUGGAUUGACAUCUUAGAUGUCAGUGGUAGGAGAGCGUUCUAAGUGCAGCGAAGUCAGACCGUAAGGACUGGUGGAGCGCUUAGAAGUGAGAAUGCCGGUAUGAGUAGCGAAAGACAAGUGAGAAUCUUGUCCACCGAAUGCCUAAGGUUUCCUGAGGAAGGCUCGUCCGCUCAGGGUUAGUCGGGACCUAAGCCGAGGCUGAAAAGCGUAGGCGAUGGCCAACAGGUUGAUAUUCCUGUACCACCUCCCCGCCGUUUGAGUAAUGGGGGGACGCAGUAGGAUAGGGUAAGCGCGCUGCUGGAUAUGCGCGUUCAAGCAGUUAGGCUGAUGAGUAGGCAAAUCCGCUCAUCAUAAAGGCUGAGCUGUGAUGACGAGGGAAUUAUAGUACCGAAGUUCCUGAUUCCACACUGCCAAGAAAAGCCUCUAGCGAGGCGGGAGGUGCCCGUACCGCAAACCGACACAGGUAGGCGAGGAGAGAAUCCUAAGGUGAUCGAGAGAACUCUCGUUAAGGAACUCGGCAAAAUGACCCCGUAACUUCGGGAGAAGGGGUGCUCUGGUAGGGUGUAUAGCCCGAGAGAGCCGCAGUGAAUAGGCCCAGGCGACUGUUUAGCAAAAACACAGGUCUCUGCGAAGCCGCAAGGCGAAGUAUAGGGGCUGACGCCUGCCCGGUGCUGGAAGGUUAAGAGGAGGGGUUAUCCUUUGGGAGAAGCUCUGAAUCGAAGCCCCAGUAAACGGCGGCCGUAACUAUAACGGUCCUAAGGUAGCGAAAUUCCUUGUCGGGUAAGUUCCGACCCGCACGAAAGGCGUAACGAUCUGGGCACUGUCUCAACGAGAGACUCGGUGAAAUUAUAGUACCUGUGAAGAUGCAGGUUACCCGCGACAGGACGGAAAGACCCCGUGGAGCUUUACUGUAGCCUGAUAUUGAAUUUUGGUACAGCUUGUACAGGAUAGGUAGGAGCCUGAGAAGCCGGAGCGCUAGCUUCGGUGGAGGCGUCGGUGGGAUACUACCCUGGCUGUAUUGAAAUUCUAACCCGCGGCCCUGAUCGGGCCGGGAGACAGUGUCAGGUGGGCAGUUUGACUGGGGCGGUCGCCUCCUAAAAUGUAACGGAGGCGCCCAAAGGUUCCCUCAGAAUGGUUGGAAAUCAUUCGUAGAGUGUAAAGGCACAAGGGAGCUUGACUGCGAGACCUACAAGUCGAGCAGGGACGAAAGUCGGGCUUAGUGAUCCGGUGGUUCCGCAUGGAAGGGCCAUCGCUCAACGGAUAAAAGCUACCCCGGGGAUAACAGGCUUAUCUCCCCCAAGAGUCCACAUCGACGGGGAGGUUUGGCACCUCGAUGUCGGCUCAUCGCAUCCUGGGGCUGUAGUCGGUCCCAAGGGUUGGGCUGUUCGCCCAUUAAAGCGGUACGCGAGCUGGGUUCAGAACGUCGUGAGACAGUUCGGUCCCUAUCCGUCGUGGGCGUAGGAAAUUUGAGAGGAGCUGUCCUUAGUACGAGAGGACCGGGAUGGACACACCGCUGGUGUACCAGUUGUCUUGCCAAAGGCAUCGCUGGGUAGCUAUGUGUGGACGGGAUAAGUGCUGAAAGCAUCUAAGCAUGAAGCCCCCCUCAAGAUGAGAUUUCCCAUAGCGUAAGCUAGUAAGAUCCCUGAAAGAUGAUCAGGUUGAUAGGUCAGAGGUGGAAGCGUGGCGACAUGUGUAGCUGACUGAUACUAAUCGAUCGAGGACUUAACCAA
This 2936-nucleotide ribosomal RNA is filed under the name Priestia megaterium. Its description in RNAcentral is "23S ribosomal RNA". It matches the Rfam family "Bacterial large subunit ribosomal RNA". Lineage: Bacteria; Bacillati; Bacillota; Bacilli; Caryophanales; Bacillaceae. The record is from RNAcentral.